Molecule: ribosomal RNA, 254 nt
Filed under: uncultured bacterium
Lineage: Bacteria
Description: partial small subunit ribosomal RNA
Rfam family: Bacterial small subunit ribosomal RNA
Source: RNAcentral
AGGACGAACGCUGGCGGCGUGCUUAACACAUGCAAGUCGAGCGGAAAGGCCCUUCGGGGUACUCGAGCGGCGAACGGGUGAGUAACACGUGAGUAAUCUGCCCCUAGCUCUGGGAUAGCUCCGGGAAACCGGGAUUAAUACCAGAUACGACCACUUUAGACAUCUUUUGUGGUGGAAAGAAUUUCGGCUAGGGAUGAGCUCGCGGCCUAUCAGCUUGUUGGUGGGGUAACGGCCUACCAAGGCGACGACGGGUA